GACGAACGCUGGCGGCGUGCUUAACACAUGCAAGUCGAACGGAAAGGCCCUGCUUUUGUGGGGUGCUCGAGUGGCGAACGGGUGAGUAACACGUGAGUAACCUGCCCUUGACUUUGGGAUAACUUCAGGAAACUGGGGCUAAUACCGGAUAGGAGCUCCUGCUGCAUGGUGGUGGUUGGAAAGUUUCGGCGGUUGGGGAUGGACUCGCGGCUUAUCAGCUUGUUGGUGGGGUAGUGGCUUACCAAGGCUUUGACGGGUAGCCGGCCUGAGAGGGUGACCGGCCACAUUGGGACUGGGAUACGGCCCAGACUCCUACGGGAGGCAGCAGUGGGGAAUAUUGCACAAUGGGCGGAAGCCUGAUGCAGCAACGCCGCGUGCGGGAUGACGGCCUUCGGGUUGUAAACCGCUUUCGCCUGUGACGAAGCGUGAGUGACGGUAAUGGGUAAAGAAGCACCGGCUAACUACGUG
RNAcentral lists this ribosomal RNA (468 nucleotides) under uncultured bacterium. RNAcentral describes it as "partial 16S ribosomal RNA". It matches the Rfam family "Bacterial small subunit ribosomal RNA", at positions 28 to 507 of the family's 1533-position model. The record is from RNAcentral.